GACGAACGCUGGCGGCGUGCUUAACACAUGCAAGUCGAACGGAAAGACCCUGCUUUUGUGGGGUGCUCGAGUGGCGAACGGGUGAGUAACACGUGAGUAACCUGCCCUUGACUUUGGGAUAACUUCAGGAAACUGGGGCUAAUACCGGAUAGGAGCUCCUGCUGCAUGGUGGGGGUUGGAAAGUUUCGGCGGUUGGGGAUGGACUCGCGGCUUAUCAGCUUGUUGGUGGGGUAGUGGCUUACCAAGGCUUUGACGGGUAGCCGGCCUGAGAGGGUGACCGGCCACAUUGGGACUGAGAUACGGCCCAGACUCCUACGGGAGGCAGCAGUGGGGAAUAUUGCACAAUGGGCGGAAGCCUGACGCAGCAACGCCGCGUGCGGGAUGACGGCCUUCGGGUUGUAAACCGCUUUCGCCUGUGACGAAGCGUGAGUGACGGUAAUGGGUAAAGAAGCACCGGCUAACUACGUG
RNAcentral lists this ribosomal RNA (468 nucleotides) under uncultured bacterium. Its description in RNAcentral is "partial 16S ribosomal RNA". It matches the Rfam family "Bacterial small subunit ribosomal RNA", at positions 28 to 507 of the family's 1533-position model. The record is from RNAcentral.